CCUUUUGAGCCUGUUCCCUCUUCAAAAUAGGGCCAAGACCACCAUCUCAUAGAGUUAUUGUGAGGUUACAUGAGGAAAGAGGUCUGUAAUGCUCCAAGCACAGUACUGGGCACAUUGUAAGUGCUCAGCAAGUUUAGUUCUCCGCCUCCUCUCUUCACAUCAUGUUCUCGGCUUUUCUGUAGACACCCGUAACACAGUGACAUUGUGCAGGGCUCUCUGACCCUUCUCUGAUGGGUCCUAGAGCAGUGCUCCUGGACUUCCUGUGUCUACUUUUCACAUUUUCUGUGUCCUCGCCCACACACUUCUCACUGCUGCCAUCACCCACUCUCCUUUCCUGUGAUAAUCCCAUGAGUUUACAGAACAGAUAACAGCUUCCUAACUGUUCCACAUUAAUUCACUUAAUCUUCAUAAAACCUUAUCAUCCAGGUACUGUUAUUUUCAUUUUAUAGUUAAAAAGCUGAGGCACAGGAAUGUGAAUGCGAAAUGACUUCUUAAGGACACGUUGCUAGUAAGUGGAGGAGUGGCUAAGACUCAGGCAACAUGGUUCCAGAGGCUGUGUUCCUAACCACACAUCAUACCACCUCUGAGAGCCCAGAACCCCAACUAAUAGACAGUGUACAAAGAGUUUAUAGACUGAAGACUGGAGAUCAUGUCUCUUUUAUUAAUAUUUUCUUUCAGACCAAACUUUCAAAAUGCAACAGUGAGGAGCUGUGUGGCCAGUUGGGGUUAAGUGUCACCUUCCAAAGCAGAUUAUUUGAGACAAGGACAAAAUACUAAAUGCAGAGAUAUUCAAGGCAAGAAAGUCUAGUGAUUGUAUUUCAUCCUCUGGAGGUUUCUUUUAGAUAAAAAUACGGAUUGAUAAAAAGAAUGGACAGAUUCUUCUCCCCAAAUAGGAUGACGUAAAUGGUGAUUCUUAAAAUUUUUUGAUCAAUAGGUCCCACUGAGAAUCUGAUGAAUACAGAUUCCCUUUCCAGGAAAAUACAUGUUUAACCUUUCUUUUUUUUUUUUUUUUAAAGAGAUGAGGUCUUACUCUGAUGCCUAGGCCAGAGUAGCAGUCGCACUAUCAUGGCUCACUGUAGCCUUGAACUCCUGGGCUCAAGUGAUCACUUUGCCUCAGCCUCAACAGUAGCUGGGACUACAGGCAAGUACCAGCAUGCCUGGCUAAUGAAAAGUUUUAUUUUUUAUUUAUUUAUUUUUUUAGAGACAGGGUCUUGGUAUGUGGUCAGGGCUGGUCUUGAACUUCUGGCCUCAAGCAAUCCUCCUGCCUUUGCCUCCCAAAGUGAUGUUUAACUUUUUAUGUACAACUGUAGAGGAUUCCAAGAUCCGUUCUUGAAUAUAAAAUUUAGAGAUUCUUGGCCGGGCGCCGUGGCUCACGCCUGUAACCCUGGCACUUUGGGAGGCUGAGGUGGGCCGAUUACCUGAGGUCAGGAGUUCUAGACCAGCCUGGCCAACAUGGUGAAACCCUGUCUCUACUAAAAAUACAAAAAUUAGCUGGGCAUGGUGGCACAUGCCUGUAAUCCCAGCUACUUGAGAGGCUGAGGCAGGAGAACUGCUUGAGCCCAGGAGAUGGAGGUUGCAGUGAGCCGAGAUCGUGCCACUGCACUCUAGCCUGAGCGACAGAGCGAGACUCUGUCUCAAAAAAAAAAAAAAAAAAAAAAAAAAAUUAGAGAUUCUUUGUAGACAAGCAGUGGAAAAUUAGAGUUAGCACUUUAAGUCCUGACCCUUCUACUGACAUGCUGUGUGAUUUUAGGCAAGCCACUAUCCUCUAAGCCCCUUGUGCAAAAAUGGAAUCAUCAUCUCUGCCCUGCUUCCCUCAUAGCGGGAGACUAUUAUGAUGUGUGAAAGGUGUGUCCAAUUGCAAAGUGCUAUCAGAAUGUUGUAAGGACACUGAGGUUCAGAGAGGUUACUUACCUUAAGGUCACGCAGCUACUAAGUGGCAGAAGAGAGGUUCAACUUGGAAGACACUGAAGUCUCUGGAAUGUGUGUGUAUGUGGCUGUGGUUAUAUGUAUGUGAAGAUCUCUCUUCCUCUAAGAAUUUUAAAAAGGAUCAAAAGAGAAAAUACAGGUGAAAGGGUUACACAGACUAUAAUGUGCAAUGCCUAUAUGAGUUACUCCUGGACUGAACUAAAGACUCCAAGUCCCAUCCACUUGUGGGGACCCAGGACUGGAUGGCUAAGGGACAGAAAAGGAUGGGUAGAAAUGUGUCAAUCAGUGAUGCUGUUGUGGAGAGAAUUAAGACCCUCUCCCACAUUCAAAUGAAAAAGUCUAUACUUUGGGGGAAAUUUGCCAGAGCUCUCCACCUCUUAAAAACCUAUUCUACUGACCAGCACACUUAGAUGUUAUUAUGUGACUAAUAUGUUUCUAAUGUCAGCAGCAAGUAAAAUCUAUAAAAGCAUAAAUCUUACUCUCUUAUGUUAAAAAGGUAGAUUCCAUAAAAGAUGCUCUCAUUCAUCUUUGAUUCUGGAUGCUUACAAUCCAGAGAUGAACAUCUGUGUGUGCUAUAAAACUAGUAGUGCCAGAGAAUGGCAACAUCCGAAAUCAGAAACCUCCAAAAAAAUCCCUGCACCUUCUUAAAGGCAAUGGGAAAUUGGCAACACUUCCUUUAACUUUCAAACUAAUGCUGCAACUGCACAUCCAGCAGUCCAAGAACACAAGGGAGUAAACUGGAAUGGGGGAUGACAAAGAGUCCUGGAGCUUCACUGUCAACAGUUGGGCAUAAGAAUGCCAAGCAAAUAUUCAGACUGACUCACUUACUGGGCCUGGAGGCUGGGAUGUAAAGCCCAAGGAAGCCUAAUGGUAGGAGGAAGAACUGCAGAGGACACUGCUAUUUCUGUGGUGAUGGGAAGUCAUUUUAAUGCUCUGCUUGUAUGAAAAGGAUAAAAUUGCUUUGGCCUUUUGUCUGAAGCUUAGUAGACCAUCAUGUCCUGAGUGAACAGUGACAAUUAGCUGAGGCCUUUCCCAGUUAUGAGGCCUAGAGCAUAGGAAAUCAUGGGGCUGAGUAGGCCAAAAGAACUUUCUAAGGCAGGUUGAAAAAGGUUGUAUCAACUUCACACACAUUCAAGUAGCAUUUAAUAACUUCCAUGAAAUUGGCUUUAGAGUAAAGUCUAUAUUGUUGUAAUACAGAAGUGAAGGUGAAUUCAGAGUACCUUCCCUCAAACCCCACCCAC
This 3167-nucleotide long non-coding RNA is filed under the name Homo sapiens (human). RNAcentral's name for it is "HSALNT0006674". The record is from RNAcentral. Lineage: Eukaryota; Metazoa; Chordata; Mammalia; Primates; Hominidae.